This 450-nucleotide ribosomal RNA is filed under the name uncultured bacterium. Its description in RNAcentral is "partial 16S ribosomal RNA". It matches the Rfam family "Bacterial small subunit ribosomal RNA", at positions 338 to 795 of the family's 1533-position model. The record is from RNAcentral.
CCUACGGGGGGCUGCAGUAAGGAAUAUUGGGCAAUGGAGGCAACUCUGACCCAGCCAUGCCGCGUGAAGGAUGACGGCCCUAUGGGUUGUAAACUUCUUUUAUACGGGAAUAAACCCGGGUACGUGUACCCGGCUGAAUGUACCGUAAGAAUAAGGAUCGGCUAACUCCGUGCCAGCAGCCGCGGUAAUACGGAGGAUCCAAGCGUUAUCCGGUUUAAUUGGGGUUAAGGGGUGCUUAGGCGGCAUUGGAGAAAUCCUACAGCUUAACUGCAGAACUGCCGUUGAUACUGCAAGUCUUGAGUACAUUUGAUGUGGGCGGAAUGUGUCAUGUAGCGGUGAAAUGCUUAGAUAUGACACGGAACACCAAUUGCGAAGGCAGCUCACAAAACUGUAACUGACGCUGAGGCACGACAGCGUGGGGAUCAAACAGGAUUAGAUACCCGAGUAGUC